Molecule: transfer RNA, 76 nt
Filed under: Bacillus pseudomycoides
Lineage: Bacteria; Bacillati; Bacillota; Bacilli; Caryophanales; Bacillaceae
Also listed under: 27 other names
Description: tRNA-Val
Source: RNAcentral
UGGUGGAGGAUGACGGGAUCGAACCGCCGACCCCCUGCUUGUAAGGCAGGUGCUCUCCCAGCUGAGCUAAUCCUCC